Panthera uncia (snow leopard) is the source of this 6020-nucleotide RNA transcript. It is a transcript of the gene named translation initiation factor IF-2-like, with no coding region annotated. The record is from RefSeq and is a predicted model, not a curated record. The transcript is spliced from 2 exons. NCBI's taxonomy places the organism in Eukaryota, Metazoa, Chordata, Mammalia, Carnivora, Felidae.
UGGGUAACUGGAGGCGGCUUCUCCGGCCGGGCGGCCCCGCCACCGCGACGCCGGGGCCCUGACGUCACCCGAUUCGCCAGGAAAUGAACUUUUUAAUAAUCCGAGGAGGGAGGAAAGCCCUUGGUCCCCUCGGCUCGGGGGGCUCCCGGCCAGGCCCAGCUCCGCGGGAGCGCCCGUCACCCUCUCCCAGACCAGCUCUGGGCAGCGCCGGGGGGCGCAGGCACAGGCUAGGGGCCUCCUCCUGCCUUUGCGUCCGGCUGUCCGUUGAUCUGUCCGAGGCCCUGGCGGCAGGUAAAGACGCGGGGCUGGAAGCGCAGAGCCCCAUUUGGCUGGGAACCAGCGCGUCUUGGGCGCUUGGGGACCCGCCUGCCCUGGCGGCCCGCUGCGCCUCCCGCUCCGCUCCACUCCGGGGCGCGCGGAGUCCGCCUGGUCUACUCGGAACUCCGCUCCGCAUAAGAGGAGGCCGGCGCCAGCUGGGUAAAGCGCGCCGGGGCCGGGAGUGGGAGCGCGAGGCCGCGGGCGCCGGGCCUCUGCGGCCAGGCCGGGCAGGUGAUUGGCCUCAGUGCCUUCCGGUUCGCGCUACCCGAAACGCGCGCGGUCUGGCCGGGACUCGCUGCCUCUCUGUUCGUCUGUCUCUCCUCCCUGCCUUUAGUUUAUGAUUCUUCAUCAACGCGUAAAAUGCAAUCGUCGGAGCCUCGAGACUGUUUUGCGUCCCUGGAACCUAGGAGGAGCUUAUCAAAGACACCGCCGCCCCGGGGACAAUCCCUGGUGUCAGGCAAGACUGCCCGGCCAGCUCGAACCCCGGGACCCAGCUCAGGAGGCAGCCAGCCGCUUGCCAGACCCGGGGCCGCGAACGCCGGAGCCGAGCGGAAGAUUUCCGUGGGUCUGCGAUCCGCGCCUCGGCUCGCAGGGAGGUGGCUACUCUGGGCGCUCGGGAAAGCAGAUUAUCGGAGCCCUUUCAGAGCGCGCACAACAAAUGCGCCCGCCAUCGAAUGCAUCAUUUACCACCGCAGAUCCGCGCGCUGAUGGGCAGGCAGAUAGCCGUCCGCGGGGGGCACGCCGGGCGCCCUGUGCCCGCGCCGCCUGCCUGCCUGCUUGCCUGCCUGCCGGGGGCACCCGCGCGUGCGCCCCCGGGUGUGCCUGGCAUGUUUGCAUGGACAUUCGCGUGUGCCAGUGGAUGGGCACUGAACAAGAAAGGGUAUUGGUGUGCAUGCGGGCAUGUCAAAGAAGUGUGCUACAAGAAAGCGCAGGUGUGCAAGCCCAUGCUCACGGGCGUGGUGGGCGUGUGUGCUGUGAAUGCCUGGGGGGGGGCAGCUGAGGCUGUUGGAGGGUGCACAGAGGAGGGGGUAUUGCACGUGAGUGCGUAGGCACGAGUGUCACUCAGGGUGGGAAGGCAGGUGUGUGAAGGAGUGGGUGUGCAAAUCCGUGUGUACAGGUGUGGUGGAUGAGCGUAUUGAGUGCCACAACGUACCUGCCCUCGAGGAGGCCGUUGAGGAGUGCACACAGGAGGCGGUGUCAUCUGCCACUAGGUCGCGUGCGAAUGUGUAUAUUCAGACACGGGUGUGUGCCUGCAGGUGUCGACCCUACUCAGUGCUCUGGGUUCCUACGUGCCUGUAAGCAUGCGCAUCCGUGCAUUCCUGUGACUGUCAGGAGUGAGUGUGCCGCGGGUCAGAGUUCACCCCAGUGUGUGCCUUCGGGGUGCACGGAUCUGUGUGAGGGUGGUUGUGUUGUUGUGCAUCUAUAUGCCUGGGUGUGCCCGGUGUGCCGUAGGAGGGGCCGGGGGAAGGGCGGUCGUUGGGGCCUGUCCCUGCGCCUGCCUGGGUAGGCUCAGGACACACGGGCCGGGACCCCUCUCCAGCGUGGGAAAGAGACAGCCAGAGGGGAGAGAAUGGUGUGCGCGGGUGCGACAGACUCCACAGCAAAAGGGGUGGAAUGUGCUAGUGACAGAAAACGGGGUGUGGGGGCGUGUAAGGGAGAAAGGUCUUCGAGGAGUUUGGGGACACCCAGGGGUCCCAAUAGCCUCAACAGGCAUGCCCUGCCGGAGGCCCCAGAGCUCCCCGCUCCGGACCUAGGGAAAGAGAGACCCGAGCCCCGCCGCCUGAGGUCCCCGCGCAGUGAGUGACACGCGCCGCCGACAAAGGCUGUAUUUUUCCAGGCUCGCGCCCCGCCCGCGCGCGCGCGAUGGUCCCCAUGGCGACGCAGAUAGCGCCGCAGCCAUUUUCCCUAUCUCCCCGGAGUCUAUUAUACGGCGGGAUUAGCUCAUCUCCAGGCAGGUCAAACCCAAAGUCACACAACCUGCGGCGCGGGCCCCGCCCCCCGCCCGGCCGCCCCUCCCCCGCCGGGGUCCGGUCUCUGCCAGGCGACCCUCGAGCUAAGGCCCUUGCGCAGGCGCAGAGCGCCACCUGGCGGCCACGGGUGGCCCGAGUUGGGGUCUCCGGGAGCCGGCAGCCUGAACCGGAGUCACCAGGCAGAAGAGCUGUGGCAGGGGUCCUUUCCUCCAGGAGGUGGACUCUCCCAGAAGCUGGGGCUUUGUUUUGUCACUGCUGUGUCCCCAGGGCUGGGCUGACGCACGGUAGAUGCUCCUUAAGUGUUUCUUGAAAGGAGAGAUGGAUGGCAGGAAAUUACAGACCCAGCAAACUGUCAAAGGUCACGCAGCUUAGUUGGCCACAAGAAAUCACUUCUUAGACUGUAUCCACUGAAUUUAGAAUAAAAGCCAAACUGUGCAAUAGCCUUUGCUGACCACUCAGACCUGGUUUCCCCCUUGCUCCAGCGGGAGCAGCCUACCUUCUGUUCUUUGAACAAACCAGAACAUUCCCACUCUCAGGCCUUUGUGUCUGCUGCCCCUUUUACCAAGAGUGUAUUCUGCCUCUGCUCAGAUGGCACCCCUCAGAGAGCAAAAACCGAGCCUUCCGACUUUCCUUGGUCGGCAUUAGGCAUUUCUUUUACAGUAAGGACUUACCACAUUGCAAAAUAGUCUCCUCUCAGGGUGUGCCUGCAGCCAGCUCCCCUGCUCCCUUGGAAUGCUAGGCUCCCUGGGGAAAGGGAGUCUGUUUUGCUUCCCAGCAGUAGCUCAGAGGCUGGGGUCUCCUCUGACAACUGGUUGGCGUUAGUCACAACUUAGGGAAUGAGUGAAUGAGGACAAGGAGAGGCCAGAGCAAGUGAGCCAGACCAUGCCCUGCUAUCUUUAUCAUUUCUCCUUACUAUUAUACCAUUCCCCCCCCCCGCCCCCGCCUUAGCUGCCCCUGUGUUUUGCUCACCCCAGUCCCAGGAUGCCUGCUCCCACCAGCAAGUCCAGAGGGGCCCGGAUAUUUAAGGGAGAGAGCACCAUGGAGGCCCCUCCACAAGGUUGGCCUGCCUUGCCUGGGGGGGGGGGGGGGGGGGGGGAGAGAACACUUCUCACCCUUCACCCUGCAUUCUCAGGGAACCGUGGUCUCUCUGGGAAGGCCGGGGCUGCCGGUUGAGACUUCACUCAUGAUACAAGAUAAUUAUACCUGAGUUGUCAUGAGGCGGUGAUGAUUAAUUGCCGUGCAUGAGUCAUGGAUGGCGAAAUAUCGAGAACGGAGAGAAGGCCACAGCCCGACUGGGCUUCCAGGUGGGAAUCCAGCCAGCCCGUCUCCAGGCCAGAAGGGGCUAAUCAGGCACUAGGCCAAGCCUCGCCCUGCUCAGGUGGGCCGGUGACAAACCCUGUGAGAGGCUUUGCCCGAGGACUCGGAGAAUUGGUGCUCUGUUCUGUCAGAAGUGCCCCAGUUGCCUCCCAGAAGAGGAGCUCCCGGGCCACUCCCCCCAACCUACACACUCACACCCUUUCUGGCCAGGUGGCCUUAGGCAAUCACUUUCCUACUCUGAGCCUCAGGCCUGCUUCCGCAACCUUCCUUCCCGGGUUAUUAUGAGAAUUACUCGUGAGCAUGUAUUUAAAGAGUUGUAGGGGCACCUGGGUGGCUCAUUUGAAUAAGCAGCCGACUCUUGAUUGUGGCUCAGGUCAUGAUCUCUCUAAUCGUGAGUUCGAGCCCCAAAUCGGGCUCUGCACUGAUAGUUCGGAGCCUGCUUGAGAUUGUCUCUCUCUCCUCCUGUCUGCCCCUCCCCGGCUCAUGCUGUCUCUAUCCCUCUCAAAGUAAAUAUAUAAACUUAAAAAAAAAAAAAGAGUUGGGGUGCCUGGGUGGCUCAAUCAAUUAUGCGUCCAACUUUGGCUCAGGUCCUGAUCUCACAGUUCAUGAGUUCGAGCCCCACAUCGGGCCUCUCUGGUGUCAGUGAGGAGCCCGCUUGGGAUCCUGUCUCCCUCUCUCACUGCCCUUCCCCUGCUCUCCCUCUCCCUCAAAAAAUAAACAUUAAAAAAAUAAGUUAAUUAAAGAAAAUAAUGUAUCUGGCCACACGGUUUGGCACUGUGGGUAUACGGUAUUGAAUAAAACCACCAUGGUGCCUGGCCCUCAGACGUAACCACACAGAUUAACACAUCAUCAAAACUUGUGAUAGGAACCCUGAGGGUCAAGGAACACAUAUUUACAGAUACCGGAUCCAAGCUUAUUUGCAGAGACCAACUCUGGGUCAGGUCCUGUGCCGAAAGGUGGGGGCCUGGAAUGAAACCAGAUACUGCCCAACUCACUGUGGGCAGAAACCAAAUACUGUCACUGUGGGCAGACAACUCACAGGAUGGUGGAGAUGCAGACACAUUAAUAGAUUCUGUUCAUUCCAGCCGAUAAGAAUUAGAAGCACAGGGUGCUUGAAGGAGUGACACUUAACCCUAGUUUGAGAGCAUAAUAUAUAAAGAGGGCCAACAAAUCAAUAAGGCAAAAAUACAACCGAAAAAAUCAGGCCAGGUGUAUGAAAAGAAAGUUCACAGAAAAGGAACUCGACACAGCUCUUAGAUGGAUGGAAACAUACUCAGUCUCACUCAGAGAAACGAAGAUGUAAAACACAUUGAAAGAUUUGGGAAGAGAGAAAUGUUCUAAAGUCGGAUUGUAGUGAUGCCUGCAACUCCAUAAAUUUGCUAAAAUUCAUGAAACGUCCAUUUAAAACGAAUAAACUUUAUGGUGUGUAAAUUAUACCACAUAAUGCUGUUUAAACACACAUCUUAAAAUACUUUGAGAUGCCAUUUUAUAUCAAUCAGUAUUAGCCACACCCAAACAUUCGAUUACAUGAUAUGUUCCUGCAGGGGAGUGCCAACUGAUGCAGUCUUGGGGUGGGACGGGCAAUGCGACACGAUUACAAACACGUUUAUGCUUUGAACCAAGAGUUUCGUUUACAGGAUACAGAGAGGCUCUUACACUUGUGGAAUUUGUAAGGAAAUUCACUGCAGCCUUGUACAUUAUGGCAAAUGAUUGCAAAUGAAAGAUGCUUAUCUAGAAGAGAGGUUAAAAGUAUAGUCAUACAACCAAACAGUGCAAUGUUAUGCUGCUAUCAUGAAGAGAGAGAGAGAGAGAGAGAAGAGAAAGAGAGAGAGAGGGGGGAAAGGGAGUGGGGGAAGGAAAGAAGGAAGGGAAGGAGGGAGGGAGGGAGGGACAAAAGAAGAAAGAAAGGGGAAGCUUUUUAUGUAAGGAUAUUGAAUGAUCUGGGGCACCUGGGUGGCUCAGUCAGAAGUGUCUGACUUUGAACUGUCUGACUUCGACUCCAGUCAUGAUCUCAUGGUUCAUGAGUUCGAGCCCAGCGUCAGGUUCUGUGCUGACGGUGUGGAGCCAGCUUGGAUCCUUCUGUCUCCCUCUCUCUGCCCCUCCCCCCGCCAAAAAAUAAAUAAACAUUUUUUAUUUUACUUAUUUUUUUCAAAAUAGCUUUUUUAAUUUUUUUAAAGCUUAUUUGUUUAUUUUGAGAGAGAGAGAGAGAGAGCCCGAGUGCAAGUGGGGAAGGGGCAGAGAGAGAGAGGGAGAGAGAGAAUCCCAAGCAGGUUGCACACCACCAGUGCAGAGCUCAACACAGGGCUCGAACUCACAAACUGCGAGACCUUGACCUGAGACAAAAUCUGACGCCUAACCAACCGAGCCACCCAGGUGCCUCUCAAAAUAGUUUUUAUAUAGUACUUGACUAGUUAA